UGCAAGUCGAGCGGAAACGACACUAACAAUCCUUCGGGUGCGUUAAUGGGCGUCGAGCGGCGGACGGGUGAGUAAUGCCUAGGAAAUUGCCUUGAUGUGGGGGAUAACCAUUGGAAACGAUGGCUAAUACCGCAUGAUGCCUACGGGCCAAAGAGGGGGACCUUCGGGCCUCUCGCGUCAAGAUAUGCCUAGGUGGGAUUAGCUAGUUGGUGAGGUAAUGGCUCACCAAGGCGACGAUCCCUAGCUGGUCUGAGAGGAUGAUCAGCCACACUGGAACUGAGACACGGUCCAGACUCCUACGGGAGGCAGCAGUGGGGAAUAUUGCACAAUGGGCGAAAGCCUGAUGCAGCCAUGCCGCGUGUAUGAAGAAGGCCUUCGGGUUGUAAAGUACUUUCAGUUGUGAGGAAGGGUGUGUAGUUAAUAGCUGCGCAUCUUGACGUUAGCAACAGAAGAAGCACCGGCUAACUCCGUGCCAGCAGCCGCGGUAAUACGGAGGGUGCGAGCGUUAAUCGGAAUUACUGGGCGUAAAGCGCAUGCAGGUGGUUCAUUAAGUCAGAUGUGAAAGCCCGGGGCUCAACCUCGGAACUGCAUUUGAAACUGGUGAACUAGAGUACUGUAGAGGGGGGUAGAAUUUCAGGUGUAGCGGUGAAUUGCGUAGAGAUCUGAAGGAAUACCAGUGGCGAAGGCGGUCCCCUGGAAAGAUACUGACACUCAUAUGCGAAAGCGUGGGGAG
Molecule: ribosomal RNA, 733 nt
Filed under: Vibrio sp. COH-23
Lineage: Bacteria; Pseudomonadati; Pseudomonadota; Gammaproteobacteria; Vibrionales; Vibrionaceae
Description: bacterial SSU rRNA
Rfam family: Bacterial small subunit ribosomal RNA
Source: RNAcentral